This 468-nucleotide ribosomal RNA is filed under the name uncultured bacterium. RNAcentral describes it as "partial 16S ribosomal RNA". It matches the Rfam family "Bacterial small subunit ribosomal RNA", at positions 28 to 507 of the family's 1533-position model. The record is from RNAcentral.
GACGAACGCUGGCGGCGUGCUUAACACAUGCAAGUCGAACGGAAAGGCCCUGCUUUUGUGGGGUGCUCGAGUGGCGAACGGGUGAGUAACACGUGAGUAACCUGCCCUUGACUUUGGGAUAACUUCAGGAAACUGGGGCUAAUACCGGAUAGGAGCUCCUGCUGCAUGGUGGGGGUUGGAAAGUUUCGGCGGUUGGGGAUGGACUCGCGGCUUAUCCGCUUGUUGGUGGGGUAGUGGCUUACCAAGGCUUUGACGGGUAGCCGGCCUGAGAGGGUGACCGGCCACAAUGGGACUGAGAGACGGACCAGACUCCUACGGGAGGCAGCAGUGGGGAAUAUUGCACAAUGGGCGGAAGUCUGAUGCAGCAACGCCGCGUGCGGGAUGACGGCCUUCGGGUUGUAAACCGCUUUCUCCUUUGACGAAGCGGGAGUGACGGUAAUGGGUAAAGAAGCACCGGCUAACUACGUG